GACGAACGCUGGCGGCGUGCUUAACACAUGCAAGUCGAACGGAAAGGCCCUGCUUUUGUGGGGUGCUCGAGUGGCGAACGGGUGAGUAACACGUGAGUAACCUGCCCUUGACUUUGGGAUAACUUCAGGAAACUGGGGCUAAUACCGGAUAGGAGCUCCUGCUGCAUGGUGGGGGUUGGAAAGUUUCGGCGGUUGGGGAUGGACUCGCGGCUUAUCAGCUUGUUGGUGGGGUAGUGGCUUACCAAGGCUUUGACGGGUAGCCGGCCUGAGAGGGUGACCGGCCACAUUGGGACGGAGAUACGGCCCAAACCCCUACGGGAGGCAGGAGGGGGGAAUAUUGCACAAUGGGCGGAAGCCUGAUGCAGAAACCCCGCGGGGGGGAUGACGGCCUUCGGGUUGUAAACCGCUUUCGCCUGGGACGAAGGGUGAGUGACGGUAAUGGGUAAAGAAGCACCGGCUAACUACGU
RNAcentral lists this ribosomal RNA (467 nucleotides) under uncultured bacterium. RNAcentral describes it as "partial 16S ribosomal RNA". It matches the Rfam family "Bacterial small subunit ribosomal RNA", at positions 28 to 506 of the family's 1533-position model. The record is from RNAcentral.